UAGCUAGUUGGUGAGGUAAAGGCUCACCAAGGCGACGAUCUGUAGCGGGUCUGAGAGGAUGAUCCGCCACACUGGAACUGAGACACGGUCCAGACUCCUACGGGAGGCAGCAGUGGGGAAUUUUGGACAAUGGGGGCAACCCUGAUCCAGCCAUGCCGCGUGAGUGAAGAAGGCCUUCGGGUUGUAAAGCUCUUUCGGCCGGGAAGAAAUCGCAUGGGUUAAUACCCUGUGCGGAUGACGGUACCGGCAUAAGAAGCACCGGCUAACUACGUGCCAGCAGCCGCGGUAAUACGUAGGGUGCGAGCGUUAAUCGGAAUUACUGGGCGUAAAGCGUGCGCAGGCGGUUUUGUAAGACAGGCGUGAAAUCCCCGGGCUCAACCUGGGAACUGCGCUUGUGACUGCAAGGCUAGAGUAUGGCAGAGGGGGGUGGAAUUCCACGUGUAGCAGUGAAAUGCGUAGAGAUGUGGAGGAACACCAAUGGCGAAGGCAGCCCCCUGGGCCAAUACUGACGCUCAUGCACGAAAGCGUGGGUAGCAAACAGGAUUAGAUACCCUGGUAGUCCACGCCCUAAACGAUGUCAACUAGGUGUUGGGUGGGUAAAACCAUUUAGUACCGGAGCUAACGCGUGAAGUUGACCGCCUGGGGAGUACGGCCGCAAGGUUAAAACUCAAAGGAAUUGACGGGGACCCGCACAAGCGGUGGAUGAUGUGGAUUAAUUCGAUGCAACGCGAAAAACCUUACCUACCCUUGACAUGUCCAGGAGCCUGAAGAGAUUUGGGUGUGCCCGAAAGGGAACUGGAACACAGGUGCUGCAUGGCUGUCGUCAGCUCGUGUCGUGAGAUGUUGGGUUAAGUCCCGCAACGAGCGCAACCCUUGUCGUUAAUUGCCAUCAUUUAGUUGGGCACUUUAACGAGACUGCCGGUGACAAACCGGAGGAAGGUGGGGAUGACGUCAAGUCCUCAUGGCCCUUAUGGGUAGGGCUUCACACGUCAUACAAUGGUCGGUACAAAGGGUUGCCAACCCGCGAGGGGGAGCCAAUCCCAGAAAGCCGAUCGUAGUCCGGAUUGCAGGCUGCAACUCGCCUGCAUGAAGUCGGAAUCGCUAGUAAUCGUGGAUCAGCAUGUCACGGUGAAUACGUUCCCGGGUCUUGUACACACCGCCCGUCACACCAUGGGAGCGGGUUCCGCCAGAAGUAGGUAGCCUAACCGCAAGGGGGGCGCUUACCACGGCGGGGUUCGUGACUGGGGUGAAGUCGUAACAAGGUAGCCGUAGGGGAACCUGCGGCUG
Molecule: ribosomal RNA, 1287 nt
Filed under: metagenome
Description: bacterial SSU rRNA
Rfam family: Bacterial small subunit ribosomal RNA
Source: RNAcentral